This 287-nucleotide ribosomal RNA is filed under the name Listeria monocytogenes. RNAcentral describes it as "partial 16S ribosomal RNA". It matches the Rfam family "Bacterial small subunit ribosomal RNA", at positions 1256 to 1533 of the family's 1533-position model. The record is from RNAcentral. Lineage: Bacteria; Bacillati; Bacillota; Bacilli; Caryophanales; Listeriaceae.
CGCGAGGUGGAGCUAAUCCCAUAAAACUAUUCUCAGUUCGGAUUGUAGGCUGCAACUCGCCUACAUGAAGCCGGAAUCGCUAGUAAUCGUGGAUCAGCAUGCCACGGUGAAUACGUUCCCGGGCCUUGUACACACCGCCCGUCACACCACGAGAGUUUGUAACACCCGAAGUCGGUAGGGUAACCUUUAUGGAGCCAGCCGCCGAAGGUGGGACAGAUAAUUGGGGUGAAGUCGUAACAAGGUAGCCGUAUCGGAAGGUGCGGCUGGAUCACCUCCUUUCUAAGGAA